RNAcentral lists this unclassified non-coding RNA (1142 nucleotides) under Hevea brasiliensis (rubber tree). Lineage: Eukaryota; Viridiplantae; Streptophyta; Magnoliopsida; Malpighiales; Euphorbiaceae. The record is from RNAcentral.
GACAUGUUGGAAAUAGGAUCAUAUUUUGGAUUUAUGAGAUGAUUUAUAAAUCAAAUUCACUUCCCUUCUUACAAUUAUGCAUGAGUUUGCAGAAUUAAAUACAGAAAACAUUUCACCAUAUAGGGUGAAGGUUUAGCCUUUGGAGCUUGGACUACGUACUGGUCAUGGGGUUGAAAUGUCCACAAAAAGGGUAACCAUAAACCUAUUAUAAAUAGCCAUGAAUUUCUAACACCAAGUUUAAAUGAUAAAAGGCAAAUUAGCUAUGAUGUUUUGAAUUUCGAUAAAUUCAAAUUUGCAGCUAGAAUUUGACAGCCAUGCAUACAAUAUCACCUUCCAAACUGCAUACAUAAAUAGUCUAUUACUGUUUAAAGGAAAAUCAAGAAAUUAGCAUCAAUUCAUUUUAUGGAUCCUCUUCUAUCAAAUAGUAAAAGGCUUGGGCUUGGCUGCAUAUCAAUGCUCUUGGGCACCCAGUUACAUAAAUUAAAAUUGAAGGCCAAAAUUGUUUACCAAGUUUCCUUUUCAGCAUCCUCUUUUAGUACAAGAAGUAACUGGGUAUCAGGCUCUCACGUAAAAUCCGUUGUAUAUAACUAAACAUGUUUAGCAACUGACCUAACCUCCAAGGACCCAUUUGUGGUCAGAUGUGUGAGCCAUGGACUCCCAUAUAAUGACCUAAUGCAACUCCUAGGGAUGAACAUCAAAUGAAAGUCAUCUCAUCAAUUAUGAGCAGAAAUACCAACAAUAAAUGCAAGACUACAUCAAAUUCAAGAAGGCCAAAAUGAAUUGGCCCAGACAUCCAUCACGCAUAAAAUGUAUUUAGGAGAAUACUGACAAAGGCAUAAAGGAAGACAUGGAUUUAGAUAAGCUACAAGACAGAUCCUUGAUUUAAUUGAAUUUUGUAAAUGCCUGGACAACUACAACUUGAAAUCAUAAUUCCAUAGCGCUUAGCGCAUUUGAAUUUGAAGGACAAGCUAACAAAUUGUGAGAACAAUAAGCCGCUGGUGAACCAUCAAAUCAUCUUCAAUAUCUAAACAAUGUAGAGAAACCUACAUCUUACAGAAUGAAUCAAUAUGCCAAAUGAUGUCAGUGAAGUUGAAUGAUUACCCAUCAAAUGACUGUCAGAAACUGAAAUAGCUGAUGAUCAA